UUAUUGUUUCGAAAGGUUCUUUUCUGUUUCCGAAUGAAUAUAACGCUUAAGCCGUUAGACAUGAUCAAGACUCUCAAAGAGAAAGCCUAGCAUUAACAUACGAAAAUACUAUAUCAGGUGCUUAGGGGAUAGAAUUAUGCAAUAUAUUGGAAUUUAUUAUUUAUAAAAUUGAAUCGGGUGCACGUCUUAUAUUGCAUGACAAAACAACUUAUACUGAUCUGAAUAAACUUUAAGGAAUAAAACAAAUUUGAAGGUGAAUUUCAAGUGACAAUCUUAGAUCCUAUUUUUAUGCAUAUAUGUAACUGUUUUUUUUAUUAUUUUUUUUUAAUAUGUUGCAUACAAUAUUUAUAUAUAUGUAUAUUUAAUUGUGUGAAAAUCAUCAUAGGAGUCUAUUUUUGUAGGUAAAAUAGACGUUUCGAUAUAUGUAAAUAUGUAAUCAUAUGCUUGUUGAAGCACUCAGAUCCAAUGUGUAAGCUGCAUGGUCCCGUCGUGAGUCCGUUGGGUAUCCAUUACACUCAUCUGGCGGACCAAUCGCUUCAUCGAAGACCGAUGCUGCCUUCCAGUACUGCCACUGUUCGAAUCGCUAGUCUCGAGUGGUGUGCGCUCAUUGAUGCGAGGCAGCUGGCGUUGGCGACGACUAUCCUUUAACUCUAGUUCGACAUCGGAAGCAUUGGUUGAAGAGCCCCCUAGUACAUCCAGAUUUUCAUAGGAAGCUGGUGAAUUAGAUUUACGGUUGUGGUUUGCAUCGGAAGCAAUCCUUGAGUUGCCAAUCCUUGCCAAACUCUUCACCCUCUUCAAUGGUCUGCGGCAAACGAUGAUGCAAUGUCUCCGGCAAACGCAAGCCGGUCAAGCCCCCCAGCAUCGAAACAAAUCCCAUUAUUACUAAUGGCAGCUUUAAAUUUUCUUUACCCAGAUACGUAACGAAGGGUAUCACGAUAAGUCCCAAGCCUCCUAUGUAGCUAGAUGCCCCAAUGCCUAUGCCGCGCACCUGCGUCGGAUAUAGCUCGCCGGCAAACGGGUAAAUGAUCAAGAAUGAUGCCGAAAGUAGAGCCUUUGAUAUGAGAUAUAAUAUUAAAGUCUCGUCUAUGGCAUUGUCAGGUAGCAUCACAGUUAUAACGCAAGCCACUCCACUAUAUUCAAUUGAAGAACAAGAGAAUAAUAAAUAAUAGUUAUAUAAAUAGAACUAAAUACUAAAUAAUAUGUAAGGAACUCUAGCCGAGACAUCUCGACUACGAGAUCCCCUGAAUUCGUAUAACUGGCACUUUAACAAUCUUUUUACUUCUUUUCUGUAUGCACUAAAAACAACACAUGUUCAUACACACGCUUACUUUGAGAACUUAAUUGUUUCAUAAUUUUUCUUGCAGAUGGACUAUCUUCAUAAAUUCAAAUGAAAUUUGGAGCGAAAAGGAUGAAUUUGUGGCCGGUAUCCUAAACAUAAAAAAAAUCAAAAUUCUAUAAAAUACGUGAUCCUAUAUUUAAAAUUUAAAAUGUAUGAUAUAGAUAUACAUACAUAUAUAUAAGAUUGUCGAUAACUUUAAAACUUAAAUAGUUAUCGUUUUUUUUAAGCAAACUUGAUCUACGUGUGUAAAAGCCUAAAAAAAUGUAUCGCGUUCAAACAGACGGACAGGGUCCGACAUAGUUCGUCACCCUUAUAAAAUAAAUAUACUUAGGGGGUAUGCCCCUGCCUGUUA
Long non-coding RNA from Drosophila mojavensis, 1691 nucleotides. RefSeq lists it as uncharacterized. Lineage: Eukaryota; Metazoa; Arthropoda; Insecta; Diptera; Drosophilidae. The transcript has 3 exons. The record is from RefSeq and is a predicted model, not a curated record.